This 275-nucleotide ribosomal RNA is filed under the name uncultured bacterium. RNAcentral describes it as "partial 16S ribosomal RNA". It matches the Rfam family "Bacterial small subunit ribosomal RNA", at positions 338 to 627 of the family's 1533-position model. The record is from RNAcentral.
CCUACGGGGGGCUGCAGUCGAGAAUCUUGGGCAAUGCACGAAAGUGUGACCCAGCGACGCCGCGUGAAGGAUGAAGGCCCUCAGGGUCGUAAACUUCUUUUACGGGAGAAGAAUCAAUGACGGUAUCCCGUGAAUAAGCCACGGCUAACUACGUGCCAGCAGCCGCGGUAAUACGUAGGUGGCAAGCGUUGUCCGGAUUUACUGGGCGUAAAGGGCAGGCAGGCGGAUGGUUAAGUAGGAAGUGAAAGGUUGGUGCUCAACACUAACACUGCUUC